GGCCACAGCCAUGUCACCCUGCAGCCCAAGACCGGUUACUCACUGAAGCUAAGCAGGGCUGAGCCUGGUCAGUACCUGGAUGGGAGACCACUGAGAACACUAGGUUGCUGUUGGAA
RNAcentral lists this ribosomal RNA (116 nucleotides) under Danio rerio (zebrafish). The record is from RNAcentral. Lineage: Eukaryota; Metazoa; Chordata; Actinopteri; Cypriniformes; Danionidae.